GAAACAGAUGGCCCCCUGAUUUUUUGAUAUGUUACAUGGAAUGGGAACCUGGACUACCUCUUGCACAAAGCUGCUGAGGAAAAGCAUACGACUUAGAGAUGCUUCCAAGUUUUCAUACGGACUGAACAGGAUUCGGUGCAGAACCCACAGAUGUGGAUUUACCAGAGGGCUCACAGAAGGUGAUUCCAGCAGAUGCCAGCUAUGAGCCUCCUGCUAUUGUAAGGCCGUACAGCCAAGGAGUGCUGAGUCAGCUGCACGACAGAGGAGUCCAGAGAAGCAAAGUGGGAUCAGAUGUGAAAAGUUUGGGUGUAACCCAUUGUGCUGCCCUUUGCUGACAGCCUCAAGACCCUGUGCCUACCUUCAGGCUGUACAGAGACCCAGCAUUUAUUGUGGUACACCACCGAUACUUUGAAACAGCGGCCCCAUUUUAUUAAGGGCUGCGCAUGACAUCAGUCCUUUUGAGACAGAAAAUCUCCAGUACUUCUGCUCGGACACGCUCCUUCCACUUCGACAAACAAAAUGCUUUAACACAGAAGCAGGAACGGCAAGGAAGUGAAGAUUAAACCCACCAGUGGCUAUUGAAACACGACAGCCAGGUACACCGUGAACUAAGCCGUUCCAUUUGGAACAGGCUGCCCAGGGAGGCGGUAGAGGCACCGUCCCCGGAGCUGCUGGAGAGCCAUGGAGAUGUGGCGCUCGGGGUCUGUUUGCGCUCCCAAGCCCAGACCUUCCCCGCAGGUGUCACCCCCCGCCUGCAGUCCCGCUGGCAGCGCUGCCACCACUCCCAUCCUCCUUGCGACACUUCACUGGCGUGAGUUACACGCAAAGAGAUCUAACUACCGUUGAAUAGAGUCUCUCGGGAUGCGGCUGCGGUUCUUCCUGCAACCCGAUGGGGACAGUGGAGGCUGCAGCGCGCGUCCUGCAGAAACAACCCACGGCUUCGAGAAAAGCGACCUCAGAGCCGCCGGCUCUAACUGAGCUACAGUUCGGCACUGGCAAGGCGCCGGGUCGCGGCGCCGGGUCUAACUUUGUGCGGUCCACAAACUGGAAUCAGAGCAGCACCUCGAAACGCCUCCGACUCAUUCGCUCCCGCUGCGCGCGGCGGCUGCCCCGAAGCCGCCCCUUCU
This is a long non-coding RNA of Gallus gallus (chicken), 1127 nucleotides long. Lineage: Eukaryota; Metazoa; Chordata; Aves; Galliformes; Phasianidae. The record is from Ensembl.